RNAcentral lists this ribosomal RNA (422 nucleotides) under uncultured bacterium. RNAcentral's name for it is "bacterial SSU rRNA". It matches the Rfam family "Bacterial small subunit ribosomal RNA", at positions 355 to 774 of the family's 1533-position model. The record is from RNAcentral.
UAAGGAAUAUUGGUCAAUGGACGCAAGUCUGAACCAGCCAUGCCGCGUGGAGGAUGAAGGUCCUCUGGAUUGUAAACUUCUUUUAUCUGGGACGAAACACUUCUUUUCUAAGAGGCCUGACGGUACCAGAUGAAUAAGCACCGGCUAACUCCGUGCCAGCAGCCGCGGUAAUACGGAGGGUGCAAGCGUUAUCCGGAUUCACUGGGUUUAAAGGGUGCGUAGGUGGGUAUGUAAGUCAGUGGUGAAAUCUCCGAGCUUAACUUGGAAACUGCCGUUGAUACUAUAGGUCUUGAAUUAUCUGGAGGUAAGCGGAAUAUGUCAUGUAGCGGUGAAAUGCUUAGAUAUGACAUAGAACACCAAUUGCGAAGGCAGCUUACUACAUAUAAAUUGACGCUGAGGCACGAAAGCGUGGGGAUCAAACA